Molecule: ribosomal RNA, 800 nt
Filed under: uncultured bacterium
Lineage: Bacteria
Description: bacterial SSU rRNA
Rfam family: Bacterial small subunit ribosomal RNA
Source: RNAcentral
GCGAGCGGCGGAUGGGUGAGUAACACGUGGGGAACCUGCCCCUAAGUCUGGGAUACCAUUUGGAAACAGGUGCUAAUACCGGAUAAUAAAGCAGAUCGCAUGAUCAGCUUUUGAAAGGCGGCGUAAGCUGUCGCUAAGGGAUGGCCCCGCGGUGCAUUAGCUAGUUGGUAAGGUAACGGCUUACCAAGGCGACGAUGCAUAGCCGAGUUGAGAGACUGAUCGGCCACAUUGGGACUGAGACACGGCCCAAACUCCUACGGGAGGCAGCAGUAGGGAAUCUUCCACAAUGGACGCAAGUCUGAUGGAGCAACGCCGCGUGAGUGAAGAAGGUUUUCGGAUCGUAAAGCUCUGUUGUUGGUGUAGAAGGAUAGAGGUAGUAACUGGCCUUUAUUUGACGGUAAUCAACCAGAAAGUCACGGCUAACUACGUGCCAGCAGCCGCGGUAAUACGUAGGUGGCAAGCGUUGUCCGGAUUUAUUGGGCGUAAAGCGAGCGCAGGCGGAAAAAUAAGUCUAACGUGAAAGCCCUCGGCUUAACCGAGGAACUGCAUCGGAAACUGUUUUUCUUGAGUGCAGAAGAGGAGAGUGGAACUCCAUGUGUAGCGGUGGAAUGCGUAGAUAUAUGGAAGAGCACCAGUGGCGAAGGCGGCUCUCUGGUCUGCAACUGACGCUGAGGCUCGAAAGCAUGGGUAGCGAACAGGAUUAGAUACCCUGGUAGUCCAUGCCCGUAAACGAUGAGUGCUAAGUGUUGGGAGGUUUCCGCCUCUCAGUGCUGCAGCUAACGCAUUAAGCACUCCGCCUG